GCCUACGGCCAUACCGGACCGAAAGCCCCCGAUCUCCCGUCCGAUCUCGGAAGGUAAACCGUCCCGGGCCUGGCUAGUACUUGGAUGGGUGACCGCCUGGGAAUCCCAGGUGCCGUAGGCA
This 121-nucleotide ribosomal RNA is filed under the name Chelonoidis abingdonii (Abingdon island giant tortoise). Lineage: Eukaryota; Metazoa; Chordata; Testudines; Testudinidae. The record is from RNAcentral.